This 738-nucleotide long non-coding RNA is filed under the name Cairina moschata (Muscovy duck). RNAcentral describes it as "domestica (muscovy Duck (domestic type)) lncRNA (ENSCMMG00000012736.1)". Lineage: Eukaryota; Metazoa; Chordata; Aves; Anseriformes; Anatidae. The record is from RNAcentral.
AUGGGACAUCUCACACCAUCACGGAUGCCUACGCAGGCAAGGAGUACAUCAUCCAGGUGGCCGCCAAAGACAACGACAUCGGCACGUGGAGCGACUGGAGCGUGGCCGUCCAUGCCACCCCCUGGACGGAGGAGCCCAAGCACCUCACCACGGAGGCCCAGAUCACAGAGACGACGAGCACCAGCACCUCCUCCUUUGUGCCACCCCCCACCACCAAAAUCUGCGACAAGGGGGCCGUGGUGGGCAGCGGGGCCGUGGCAGUGUGUUGGACAGCUGGACUGGUCUUGGCUGCUUAUGGUGUCCUCUUUAUUUAAUCCCCGUCCGUCACAGCCCAGCGGAGACAACCUCCCACCGCCACCGCCACCGCCACCACCGCCCUCCCCUCCGCCUCCCUCCCGGUUUGAGUCUCUUAUCUCUUCGAUUUUGCACACGUUGAGGACGUAUCACGCUUCUCGCCAUCGCUGCGGAGGAGGACAGAGCCGCCGCCGCCGCCGCCGCUGCCGCCGCCCCCGGGGACCUGCCCCGAAAACCUCGCCGAGCCCAGAGCGAGGACACGCACUCGUCCCCCUGCCACCCGCCCUGUCCCUGCUCCCAGCAAGGCGCAGCGAGCCCGGGCACCGUGCCGCAGCCCCGGGACCCCGCGGGCCAGCCCCGCCAUCGCUCAUACAGCUAACCCGCCACGCCAAAGACGUGCCACCGCCACGCCACCGCGCCGCCGGGACGCGGGUGACAACGUGA